This 492-nucleotide ribosomal RNA is filed under the name uncultured bacterium. RNAcentral describes it as "bacterial SSU rRNA". It matches the Rfam family "Bacterial small subunit ribosomal RNA", at positions 28 to 499 of the family's 1533-position model. The record is from RNAcentral.
GACGAACGCUGGCGGCGUGCCUAAUACAUGCAAGUCGAACGCACUCUCGUUUAGAUUGAAGGAGCUUGCUCCUGAUUGAUAAACAUUUGAGUGAGUGGCGGACGGGUGAGUAACACGUGGGUAACCUGCCCUAAAGUGGGGGAUAACAUUUGGAAACAGAUGCUAAUACCGCAUAAAACCUAACACCGCAUGGUGUAGGGUUGAAAGAUGGUUUCGGCUAUCACUUUAGGAUGGACCCGCGGUGCAUUAGUUAGUUGGUGAGGUAAAGGCUCACCAAGACCGUGAUGCAUAGCCGACCUGAGAGGGUAAUCGGCCACACUGGGACUGAGACACGGCCCAGACUCCUACGGGAGGCAGCAGUAGGGAAUCUUCCACAAUGGACGAAAGUACUGAUGGAGCAACGCCGCGUGAGUGAAGAAGGUUUCGGAUCGUAAAACUCUGUUGUUGGUAGAAGAAUGUAUUUGAUAGUAACUGAUCAGGUAGUGACGGUAU